ACCAAAUGAGCGAGCAUUCAUUCAUAACUUGGCUCACCGUUCUGCUCCGCUCUUGCUCAUUCUCGCUCGUUCUCGCACCCAUCGAAGAGUUCAUAAAUCCUGGAAUUAGUCAAUUAUCUUUCGUGACAAAAAUUGGCUCGCUUCAUUGGUGAUUCUGAGAAAUGCCUUCCACCCAUCUCGAAUGUAACUGAGCUAUCGCUUCCACAACAAUUUAUGACCUGAAAGUGUUGGUGCUCUGGAUUAUUUCAAGGUCCGUCGUUCCAGCACCUUCCCAAAUUCCAAUCCUUUAGACCUCCAACGUGCAUGUCUUCUUGUUCACUCCGUUGUCAAGAGUCGCUUGAUCAUUGCACUUGACCACAGGAGCACCCAAGCGAACCCAAAGCAGGUGUCCACCACUCCCCUGGGCGAGUCAAUUGCCAACCACUCACCAUAACGCCACCAGCCCAUUCGACUAGCUGUCUGAGCCAACCAUCAUCCAUCUUAUGGCAUGCAAUACUUGCUCGCUUGCUUGCUUGCUUCCUUGCAAGUCCGUUGUCGGCUAUUGCACUUGUGCAUCGCCUUUCUUGGCUUACAAUACGAGGAAAGGUUCUCUCUGAGACCACAGUAGACGAGACCCCCUUCCUCAUGCCCGACCUAGUCCACCAACCAUCAUUCAAGCAACCCUUCCCGGCUUCCUUCACCGGGUUCUUCGCCCAAGAGAGACCACGGGGUGUUUUCUGUUCACUUUUCACUCUUGGCUUCCUUUUCAUGUUCAGAGGCUGAAUAUGCACUGUAUAUAGGGCAUUGUGCUCUAGAGGGAGUGACGGAGAGAAGCACCAUUACCUCCAUUCUUACGCCCAAUUCGUAGUGCAUUGAACAAAUGGAGGAGAAAAGAGUCACUUCCUCGCGUCGUUCCAAGAAAGGGCGAACCCCGAGUCUUGUAUGAAAUAGUAAAUGUUGUUCGUGUUCCCUGACGACCGAAACCAGAGCUGUGUGCAAUCAUCUGAGCCAGAGCGGGAACAUGUACCAAUAGUGGAGUGUUGUUUUAUGUAAUGGCUGCAUCGUGAUGACUAAACCCACAUCAGAUGAACAAGGUCCUAAAUUUAUCUUCCCCACCUCCAGGCAUCUUUAAUCCGGUCGUGGUUUGAGCAAUGCUCGCGGAGACAAAAAGCUGAAGAUCGUGCAUUGGCAAGCUGAGAGCCGAAAAGCCAGUUUGCCCACGAUGGAUUGACGUAUCACUGAUUCGUUUUGUCCAACUCGGGUUCGGAUCGGCUUAGGGAUCGCCCCCAGAUUAGACGCGUACUGAGCAAAAUGGGAGUGUGUACCCCUAAAGAAUAGUGGUAACAUCAUGGUCGAUAUCGAUAUGGUUCUCCGGGUGUCCAUCUUCUUUUACGAUCGGCCCCACCAACGCAGCGCUGUUACCUGUGGAAAUCCCACUCAAGCUGAAGGCUCAAGAUGGGACUCUAUUUAGAGAUUCGUAGAUGGCUCAAAAACAACCCAGACAAUAGCUCAGCACGCCAAAUGUUCGCUUGUAAUUCGAUCUAUCAUUCGUUGUGAUGAAAUCACUAAAAGAGGCACAUCUAGGACCUCAACAAGCAUGCUUCCAGUGUUGCCUCAGCGUUGAUAUUAACCUUAGAGGUCCUCUAUGAUUUCACGACUCAACCUAGUAGUUUGACAUGGCUCCAAAUGUCAAUUUCGAAUGGACAAGACCGCAUUUUGGUGUGCGUGGGCAAUGAUGCCUAAGGACAGAUUUUGGUCCGAGCCACCGAGUAUUCAAAGACAAAGAUGCGUCUUUUGUGUAGGACAAUGGGGUCUAGAUUGGAAAUGUUGUUGAAUAAGUGAAUUGUUAUGAUGGUUUUGGGCACAUGGGUUACGCUGUCCUCACCCCCGCCUUUUGUCACUGUACUUACGCACUUGCGAUUUUGUGGUACAUCGAUUUGUUACCCUCGGUAGUCCCUGCUCCUCCAUCAUUGCCAAUGUUAAAGUUGUGCCACCACCAUCAUUAUCAUCUCGAUCCUGCUUCCACUCCGAGAAAACAAUUGGAAAAAUUGCUCGGCAAGCACUUUACGAGGGAGGGCACGUCAGGGAUUGUACAACUGUCAAAGCUCUGAUUUUACCGAAGGUACUUCAUUUUGAGGACAAUAAUGCUAAGCAACAUCAAGAUGGGGCAAAGGAAUUUGAAAGAAUGUGGCGCCCAGGACCCUCUCUGGAACAUUGGGCUACUCGUCCACCACCUACGAACCGUUGCGAGUCGAUCUAUUGAUAUAAUGUUGGGGGAGGCUGCUGGAACUUGUUCAGAUCCUAAAUGGAUGACGUUAACAUGGAUGGAAGUUAAAUGUUCGAGCAGCUGACAACAUGGAUACUACUACUACGAACAAUUCCAGCCCAUACCAUUUUGUUGACGUUCUCUACCAUCAGUGAGGGAUCCUCCUAUUCAAGGACAAGUGGAGUUGAUCAUCAUAAAUAUUCUUUGGGCCGCUUUCAUGCAAAGCCAGCGUCGAACGUACACCAU
Molecule: long non-coding RNA, 2491 nt
Organism: Tigriopus californicus
Lineage: Eukaryota; Metazoa; Arthropoda; Copepoda; Harpacticoida; Harpacticidae
Exons: 4
Source: RefSeq, a predicted model, not a curated record